RNAcentral lists this unclassified non-coding RNA (422 nucleotides) under uncultured Basidiomycota. RNAcentral describes it as "sequence contains ITS2". The stretch from base 1 to 154 matches the Rfam family "5.8S ribosomal RNA". Lineage: Eukaryota; Fungi; Basidiomycota. The record is from RNAcentral.
AACUUUCAGCAACGUGUCACUUGGUUCUCGCAUCGAUUAAGAACGCAGCGAAAUGCGAUAAGUAAUGUGAAUUGCAGAAUUCAGUGAAUCAUCGAAUCUUUGAACGCACCUGGCGCUCCUUGGUAUUCCGAGGAGCAUGCCUGUUUGAGUGUCGUUAAAUUCUCAACUUCUUCAGUUUUUCUGAUGAAGCUUGGUUGUGGGAGUGUGUGGGCUUUUAAGAAGUCGACUCUCCUGAAAUGCAUUAGUGAGACCAUUGUUGACUGACUGCCUCUGGUGUGAUAAUUAUCUACGCCACAGUUGGUUAACUAAUAUAUGGUUUUGCUCAUAACUGAGUGAAUGUUCUUUAUGGACAACUCUUGACAAUUUGACCUCAAAUCAGGUAGGACUACCCGCUGAACUUAAGCAUAUCAAAAGCGGAGGCU